CAUGCAAGUCGAGCGAGAAGCUAGCUUCGGUUAGUGGAAAGCGGCGCACGGGUGAGUAACGCGUGGGAAUUUACCUUUUGGUGGGGGACAACAGUUGGAAACGACUGCUAAUACCGCAUAUACCCUACGGGGGAAAGAUUUAUCGCCAAGAGAUGGGCCCGCGUUAGAUUAGGUAGUUGGUAGGGUCAUAGCCUACCAAGCCUACGAUCUAUAGCUGGUUUGAGAGAACGAUCAGCCACACUGGAACUGAGACACGGUCCAGACUCCUACGGGAGGCAGCAGUGGGGAAUCUUGCACAAUGGGCGAAAGCCUGAUGCAGCCAUGCCGCGUGAGUGAGAAGGCCUUCGGGUUGUAAAACUCUUUUAGAUGUGAAGAUGAUGACGGUAACAUCAGAAAAAGCCCCGGCUAACUUCGUGCCAGCAGCCGCGGUAAUACGAAGGGGGCUAGCGUUGUUCGGAAUUACUGGGCGUAAAGAGCGUGUAGGCGGCUAGAUAAGUUAGGGGUGAAAUCCCGGAGCUCAACUUCGGAAUUGCCUUUGAUACUGUCUAGCUUGAGAUUGCGAGGGGAUAGCGGAAUACCCAGUGUAGAGGUGAAAUUCGU
RNAcentral lists this ribosomal RNA (600 nucleotides) under uncultured Alphaproteobacteria bacterium. RNAcentral's name for it is "bacterial SSU rRNA". It matches the Rfam family "Bacterial small subunit ribosomal RNA", at positions 54 to 691 of the family's 1533-position model. Lineage: Bacteria; Pseudomonadati; Pseudomonadota; Alphaproteobacteria. The record is from RNAcentral.